UGGGUCCCAGUGCCCCCGAGAUUGAGUACUCAACUGUACUCAGUAGACAGUAGAGUGGGAAAAUGGUUAAAUCUACAAUAAAAUAGACAGUUAUUUUUCUUUCAUUUCUACUCCCAGGUACACACUGACCAGCCAUGACUGAAGAUCCCAGAGAAGAAGUCAAUCGAGGAGUACUGCUGUUGGAACCAUUCUAUGGUGGCUCUCAUCGUCAGCUCAUUGAUCUCCUUCAUGAGAGUAUCCCAGAAUGCACUUUGUUUACCUUGCCCGCUUCCAAGUGGCACUGGAGAGCAAGGACAUCGGCUCUAUACUUCUCCACCGAAGUACCUUACGAUCACUCAUUCAGUGUUCUGUUUGCAAGCUCCGUCCUGAACCUCGCAGAGCUGGUUGCCUUGAGACCUGACCUAGCAACGAUCAGGAAAAUCCUGUACUUCCAUGAGAACCAGCUAGUUUAUCCAGUCCAGAAACACAAGGACAGGGACUUCCAGUAUGGUUACAACCAAAUACUUUCAUGCCUUGUUGCAGAUGUUAUUGUCUUCAAUUCAUAUUAUAACCAAGAGAGUUUCCUGACAUCCAUUGAUUCCUUCUUAAAAUUGAUGCCAAAUAGGCCAAGAAAGUUUGCUGAGAGGAUUCGUCCAAAGUGCCAAGUCCUGUACUUUCCCCUUUAUUUCCCUCCCGUCCUGCCUAGCAAGGCACCAGAUCCAGACAUGACUGUUCCUUCUGGCAAAUACUCUGAAACACCCUUCAGCCACGAUGUCGGGAGCAGACAUUCUUCAGAACAUACCCCUGAUCAGAGCAUCGGGUCACCAGAUUGCAAGCCGCCAAGUUCUGCAGCAAAAGUAACAAGUUGUGCAGGUGGUGGGUGUAGCUCUGUACAGCCUGGACUGAUGAUAGACAUAGCACAUUGGGGUCAUCUAGGGGAAGGGGAUUUUAGGAGAAAAGAAUAUGGGAUGACCUUUGAUGAACUGCAGGACAACCAGGUUUCAUCUCAUGUCUCAGUGGACGACCGAGGUAAUCCUGCAAGAAGAGCAAUGAAAUUGCAGGAAUCAAAAGAAACGUUUGCUCAUAGGAUUGUAUUAGAUACUGUAGACCAUGCUUCUUUCCCAAAACAGGAAGAUGGGAAUGAAAUAGAUGAGCGAUCUUUUGAUGACCAAAAGCGUAUUCCUGUCUUAUUUCAGAAUCCUUUGGAAUCUUCAGAAGUGGAACGAUCAUCUCAGGAUUCAAAGGGAAUGAGCUGUGCAUCAAGAAAACCUGUAACAGAUACCAAAGCUCCUGCUAAUGUAUUCAACCAGGAAGAUACCAAUGAAGAUACAACCGCUGAUGUUUUACCAGAUUGCAGUACAUUUACAGAACAACGUGAAAAUAUCUGUCGGGGAAUAGAAAAAACAAAAAUAGGUUCAGUAGGUCCUCAUGGUGGAGGUAGUCGUGACCAUGCCAGCACAGAUGAGAAGCGAGUUGGUGAUUGCAGCUCUGUCAAGAAUGGAAAUGAUAAUGGACGGAGCAUUCGACCACUACAUAUUCUUUGGCCUCAUAGAUGGGAACAUGACAAGAAUCCAGAUCAAUUCUUCUCUGUAUUGUUUCAACUGCGUGAGCAAGACUGUAAUUUUCAUGUCUCUGUGUUGGGUGAAAGCUAUCUGCAAGUUCCAUCAAUCUUUGAGGAAGCAAAGCUUAAAUUGAAAGAUCAUAUUUUUAGCUGGGGGUUUCUACCAAGCAAGGAGGACUAUUACAGGAUACUUUCCGAGGCUGAUGUUGUUGUUUCUACUGCAAAUCAUGAAUUCUUUGGAGUCGCUAUGUAGGUUAGAAGCCACUUAUUAUCAGUGUUAUCCGCUCUGCCCAGCCCGCCUGGUCUACCCAGAGAUAUUCCCCGCUGAACACCUUUAC
Molecule: unclassified non-coding RNA, 1878 nt
Filed under: Lytechinus variegatus (green sea urchin)
Lineage: Eukaryota; Metazoa; Echinodermata; Echinoidea; Temnopleuroida; Toxopneustidae
Description: glycosyltransferase-like domain-containing protein 1, transcript variant X3
Source: RNAcentral